UGCCUACGGGGGGCAGCAGUGGGGAAUAUUGGGCAAUGGGCGCAAGCCUGACCCAGCAACGCCGCGUGAAGGAAGAAGGCUUUCGGGUUGUAAACUUCUUUUCUCAGGGACGAAGCAAGUGACGGUACCUGAGGAAUAAGCCACGGCUAACUACGUGCCAGCAGCCGCGGUAAUACGUAGGUGGCAGGCGUUAUCCGGAUUUACUGGGUGUAAAGGGCGUGUAGGCGGGACUGCAAGUCAGAUGUGAAAACCACGGUCUCAACCUGUUGCCUGCAUUUGAAACUGUAGUUCUUGUGUACUGGGGG
RNAcentral lists this ribosomal RNA (305 nucleotides) under uncultured bacterium. Its description in RNAcentral is "bacterial SSU rRNA". It matches the Rfam family "Bacterial small subunit ribosomal RNA", at positions 335 to 655 of the family's 1533-position model. The record is from RNAcentral.